GGCUGGUUCGAAGGUGGUUGUGGCUCCUCUCCAUUGGUUUUUCAUAGUUACAGAUCGAACUCCUUGUUCUGCUCUUUCCCUUCUUCUCACUGCUGCAGUUGACUAGUUUAAA
Molecule: unclassified non-coding RNA, 112 nt
Organism: Cercocebus atys (sooty mangabey)
Lineage: Eukaryota; Metazoa; Chordata; Mammalia; Primates; Cercopithecidae
Rfam family: Y RNA
About the family: Y RNAs are components of the Ro ribonucleoprotein particle (Ro RNP), in association with Ro60 and La proteins.
Source: Ensembl